This 529-nucleotide ribosomal RNA is filed under the name Aureobasidium melanogenum. RNAcentral describes it as "partial large subunit ribosomal RNA". It matches the Rfam family "Eukaryotic large subunit ribosomal RNA", at positions 301 to 850 of the family's 3401-position model. The record is from RNAcentral. Lineage: Eukaryota; Fungi; Ascomycota; Dothideomycetes; Dothideales; Saccotheciaceae.
AAAUUUCUUCUAAAGCUAAAUAUUGGCGAGAGACCGAUAGCGCACAAGUAGAGUGAUCGAAAGAUGAAAAGCACUUUGGAAAGAGAGUUAAAAAGCACGUGAAAUUGUUGAAAGGGAAGCGCUUGCAAUCAGACUUGUUUAAACUGUUCGGCCGGUCUUCUGACCGGUUUACUCAGUUUGGACAGGCCAGCAUCAGUUUCGGCGGCCGGAUAAAGGCUCUGGGAAUGUGGCCUUCACUUCGGUGAAGGUGUUAUAGCCCAGGGUGUAAUACGGCCAGCCGGGACUGAGGUCCGCGCUUCGGCUAGGAUGCUGGCGUAAUGGUUGUAAGCGACCCGUCUUGAAACACGGACCAAGGAGUCUAACAUCUAUGCGAGUGUUCGGGUGUCAAACCCCUGCGCGUAAUGAAAGUGAACGGAGGUGGGAACCGCAAGGUGCACCAUCGACCGAUCCUGAUGUCUUCGGAUGGAUUUGAGUAAGAGCAUAGCUGUUGGGACCCGAAAGAUGGUGAACUAUGCCUGAAUAGGGUGAA